Molecule: ribosomal RNA, 460 nt
Filed under: uncultured bacterium
Lineage: Bacteria
Description: partial 16S ribosomal RNA
Rfam family: Bacterial small subunit ribosomal RNA
Source: RNAcentral
CCUACGGGGGGCAGCAGUGAGGAAUAUUGGUCAAUGGCCGGAAGGCUGAACCAGCCAAGUCGCGUGAGGGACGACUGCCCUAUGGGUUGUAAACUUCUUUUAUAUGGGAAUAACAUGUUCCACGUGUGGGAUUUUGUAUGUACCAUAUGAAUAAGGAUAGGCUAACUCCGUGCCAGCAGCCGCGGUAAUACGGAGGAUCCGAGCGUUAUCCGGAUUUAAUGGGUUUAAAGGGAGCGUAGGUGGAUUGUUAAGUCAGUUGUGAAAGUUUGCGGCUCAACCGUAAAAUUGCAGUUGAAACUGGCAGGCUUGAGUACAGUAGAGGUGGGCGGAAUUCGUGGUGUAGCGGUGAAAUGCUUAGAUAUCACGAAGAACUCCGAUUGCGAAGGCAGCUCACUGGACUGCAACUGACACUGAGGCUCGAAAGUGUGGGUAUCAAACAGGAUUAGAUACCCUAGUAGUC